CUUCACCGACCCGAGCCGCACCGGCCGCUCGGCGGGGCGGCCUCGGCCGUAGGUGGCGAGCAGGGCCUGGGCCUC
This 75-nucleotide antisense RNA is filed under the name Streptomyces rubellomurinus. Its description in RNAcentral is "ASpks TB sRNA". It matches the Rfam family "ASpks TB sRNA". Lineage: Bacteria; Bacillati; Actinomycetota; Actinomycetes; Kitasatosporales; Streptomycetaceae. The record is from Rfam by way of RNAcentral. RNAcentral also lists the same sequence under 2 other names.